This 544-nucleotide ribosomal RNA is filed under the name uncultured bacterium. RNAcentral's name for it is "bacterial SSU rRNA". It matches the Rfam family "Bacterial small subunit ribosomal RNA", at positions 361 to 896 of the family's 1533-position model. The record is from RNAcentral.
AUCUUCGGCAAUGGACGGAAGUCUGACCGAGCAACGCCGCGUGAGUGAAGAAGGUUUUCGGAUCGUAAAGCUCUGUUGUAAGAGAAGAACGAGUGUGAGAGUGGAAAGUUCACACUGUGACGGUAUCUUACCAGAAAGGGACGGCUAACUACGUGCCAGCAGCCGCGGUAAUACGUAGGUCCCGAGCGUUGUCCGGAUUUAUUGGGCGUAAAGCGAGCGCAGGCGGUUAGAUAAGUCUGAAGUUAAAGGCUGUGGCUUAACCAUAGUAGGCUUUGGAAACUGUUUAACUUGAGUGCAAGAGGGGAGAGUGGAAUUCCAUGUGUAGCGGUGAAAUGCGUAGAUAUAUGGAGGAACACCGGUGGCGAAAGCGGCUCUCUGGCUUGUAACUGACGCUGAGGCUCGAAAGCGUGGGGAGCAAACAGGAUUAGAUACCCUGGUAGUCCACGCUGUAAACGAUGAGUGCUAGGUGUUAGACCCUUUCCGGGGUUUAGUGCCGUAGCUAACGCAUUAAGCACUCCGCCUGGGGAGUACGACCGCAAGGUUG